UGGGGAAUUUUGGACAAUGGGCGCAAGCCUGAUCCAGCCAUGCCGCGUGAGUGAAGAAGGCCUUCGGGUUGUAAAGCUCUUUCGGCGGGGACGAAACGGUUCGUGACAACACCACGGACUAAUGACGGUACCCGCAUAAGAAGCACCGGCUAACUACGUGCCAGCAGCCGCGGUAAUACGUAGGGUGCAGGCGUUAAUCGGAAUUACUGGGCGUAAAGGGUGCGCAGGCGGUUUGUUAAGACAGGUGUGAAAUCCCCGGGCUUAACCUGGGAAUUGCGCUUGUAACUGGCAGGCUAGAGUGUGGCAGAGAGGGGUGGAAUUCCACGUGUAGCAGUGAAAUGCGUAGAUAUGUGGAGGAACACCGAUGGCGAAGGCAGCCCCCUGGGUUAACACUGACGCUCAUGCACGAAAGCGUGGGGAGCGAACGGGAUUAGAUACCCCCGUAGUCCCUGAGCGGGCUGGCAAGGCGCAU
This 472-nucleotide ribosomal RNA is filed under the name uncultured bacterium. Its description in RNAcentral is "bacterial SSU rRNA". It matches the Rfam family "Bacterial small subunit ribosomal RNA", at positions 355 to 825 of the family's 1533-position model. The record is from RNAcentral.